Molecule: ribosomal RNA, 492 nt
Filed under: Merismodes anomala
Lineage: Eukaryota; Fungi; Basidiomycota; Agaricomycetes; Agaricales; Niaceae
Description: partial large subunit ribosomal RNA
Rfam family: Bacterial large subunit ribosomal RNA
Source: RNAcentral
AUAUCCUCAUAAGUUUGACGAAAAGAGGUACCACUUUAAAAUAACCCUUUAACUAAAAACCCAUCGCUCUAGUUUUUUCUUAUGGAAAAAAACAAGGCAGCAUGCUUUGAGGCAGCAGCAAGCCUGCCUGCCUGCGUACGCUGGCAGGCUGGUUGGGGUAGGGUAAAUAAAGGGGUGACACAAAAUCGGAGGCCACGACUGUUUACUAAAAACACAAUUCUAUGCAAUCACGUAAGUGGUAGAAUAUGGAAUGAAAUUUGCCCGAUGCCGUUAAUAUAAAAAAGGUCAUAUGGAUAAUGUGAUUGAUUGAAAAUCCGGUCUAUGGCGGUCUUAACCUUGAGGAUCCUAAGGUAGCAUAAUCAUUUGGCCAUUAAAUGUGGUCUGGAAUCAAUAAUUUAACGAUGGUCUCACUGUCUCAACUAUUUGCUCAGUGAAAUUGAAUUACGCGUGAAGAUUCGCCGUUACUUUCGAGGGGACCGGAAAGACCCUAUG